GAUGAACGCUGGCGGCGUGCCUAAUACAUGCAAGUCGAGCGAACAGACGAGGAGCUUGCUCCUCUGACGUUAGCGGCGGACGGGUGAGUAACACGUGGAUAACCUACCUAUAAGACUGGGAUAACUUCGGGAAACCGGAGCUAAUACCGGAUAAUAUAUUGAACCGCAUGGUUCAAUAGUGAAAGACGGUUUUGCUGUCACUUAUAGAUGGAUCCGCGCCGCAUUAGCUAGUUGGUAAGGUAACGGCUUACCAAGGCGACGAUGCGUAGCCGACCUGAGAGGGUGAUCGGCCACACUGGAACUGAGACACGGUCCAGACUCCUACGGGAGGCAGCAGUAGGGAAUCUUCCGCAAUGGGCGAAAGCCUGACGGAGCAACGCCGCGUGAGUGAUGAAGGUCUUCGGAUCGUAAAACUCUGUUAUUAGGGAAGAACAAAUGUGUAAGUAGCUAUGCACGUCUUGACGGUACCUAAUCAGAAAGCCACGGCUAACUACGUG
This 497-nucleotide ribosomal RNA is filed under the name uncultured bacterium. RNAcentral describes it as "partial 16S ribosomal RNA". It matches the Rfam family "Bacterial small subunit ribosomal RNA", at positions 28 to 507 of the family's 1533-position model. The record is from RNAcentral.